Molecule: ribosomal RNA, 238 nt
Filed under: uncultured bacterium
Lineage: Bacteria
Description: partial 16S ribosomal RNA
Rfam family: Bacterial small subunit ribosomal RNA
Source: RNAcentral
CGGCGGACGGGUGAGUAACGCGUGGGUAACCUGCCUCAUACAGGGGGAUAACAGUUAGAAAUGGCUGCUAAUACCGCAUAAGACCACAGUACUGCAUGGUACAGUGGUAAAAACUCCGGUGGUAUGAGAUGGACCCGCGUCUGAUUAGGUAGUUGGUGAGGUAACGGCCCACCAAGCCGGCGAUCAGUAGCCGACCUGAGAGGGUGACCGGCCACAUUGGGACUGAGACACGGCCCAG